This 231-nucleotide unclassified non-coding RNA is filed under the name fungal sp. RNAcentral's name for it is "partial internal transcribed spacer region". The stretch from base 1 to 54 matches the Rfam family "Eukaryotic small subunit ribosomal RNA", at positions 1778 to 1831 of the family's 1831-position model. Lineage: Eukaryota; Fungi. The record is from RNAcentral.
GGAACUAAAAGUCGUAACAAGGUAACCGUAGGUGAACCUGCGGUUGGAUCAUUAUUGAAUCAACGGUCUCAAGUCCUCUUCGGAGUUGAUUUGAGACCUUACCUACCCCAUGUGCAACAUUACUGUUUUUUGGGACUGUUAACGCAGUCCCAGCAUUAUUAACUCUAUUUAAUUUGUCUGAAAUGAAACCAAGAAUCGUAACAACUUUUGACAACGGAUCUCUUGGCUCUC